This is a long non-coding RNA of Dalotia coriaria, 177 nucleotides long. RefSeq lists it as uncharacterized. NCBI's taxonomy places the organism in Eukaryota, Metazoa, Arthropoda, Insecta, Coleoptera, Staphylinidae. The transcript has 2 exons. The record is from RefSeq and is a predicted model, not a curated record.
AGAUUUCAAUAAGUUGAUAUGGCAGCAGCUGUAGAAAUGGGGGAAGUAGAUGAUAUUCACUCCAAAGAAGAAUCAAAAGGAGACAUUCUUGUCAAUGGUAACAUAAAAGAAAAACAUGCAAAAGAAGAUUUAACAAUGGAGACUGACGACGCAAAAGAAGUAAAUGAUAAUAUUAAA